ACCCCUUUAGGUGGGACAGGAUGGCUACAGGGGCCUGGAUUUGGGUAUUUGCCUUCCCUCAGGUUUGUUAGGAUCUGAUAAAAUCCUAGUAGGGUUAGGCUUUGGUAAAAUAGUUUCUCUUGAGGACAGGCCUUGUUAAGAAGAACAGAAUGUUCUGGAGUAUUUCAAAAUUACACCUUUACUUUACUAUUCCUCUCCCUCUUACCAUUACUUUUCCCUCUUCCUGCUGGAAGCCCAAGGAGAUUUUUCUCUGAUGUUCACUGUGAGAACUCGGAGGAACUCCUGGAGGUAAAGUGUAGGCAUCCCCCUUGCAAGUGGGCCCUCCUGGAGCUUUAACUCCCAGACUUGUCCACACGGAGCCUCCAGCAAUUCAUCAACUACAGUUCAGGUUUUUCUAGCCUGGUAUUUGUUCCUGCACAGAUUUCUUUUUAUGAGUUUCUGCUCCUGUAAGUUGAUUCUCUGUAUCCUCCUGUCUAGGACUACUGGUUUGCUCUGCAAAUUUAAUUUUCUAACAAAUCUAAGAAGAGGUACUGAUUUUUGUUUUGUCAAGUUUUAACUUGUUAGGACAGAGUGAUGACUCCUAAGGUCCUUAUGUGCUAGAUGGGGCAAGCUUCUUUUUAUUUCAAAGGCUUUUCUAAUUUUCUCUUAAGGCAUUAUACAUUGUGAUUACUUGCUCUUGUGUUCCUUAUAGUAUAAUAUUUAUUCUUGAAUAAUGUAUUUUAAAAUUUGAAUUCUUUGCUGAAUUGCGUCACUUCAAUUUUUUUUAUCUUUUUGUUUUUCUCUUUUCUCAAAUAGGAAGUACUGUCAUUCUGACAGCAGGUUCACCCAAAGGGUACACCUUGACUUUGUAAUAGUAUCCCUGACUGUUCUGUUAAAUUUCAAAAUGAGAAAACUCUUUUUCGUCUAUUGACAGAUAAUGUGCACCCAAAUUAAGUGUGAGUGGGGGUCUGACUGUAUGUCUAAAGUGUACAGGCAGAGAUGAAUGUGUGUGGCUUUAGCAGAUCCACACUCAUCCAGGGAUAACUGGACCAUGGGGGCAGGGUGGGAGUGGAGAGAAGUCAUCAUAGGAUGGUAAUCAGGUGCUUGCAGGGAGAAGAGAAGGAAAAGCAGAUGAGUGAACAAGGGCAGAUGGUGCUGGAGAAUUCCAUCAAGUGGGCAUCAAGAAGGGACUGGAGGUUAAAACCUUUGGGAUAAAGAAGAAGAAAAAAAGACAAGCUGGUAAAAAGUAAGGUCUGGGGGGUGGAGGCAAGAAGGGGAGUUGCUAAAAACUCUAGAAUAAGCAGUAAGACAUCUUUCAAUAAAACUGCCCCUUCCCAGAUGGCACCUGGGCACUGUUUGCUGGGCACAAACAUGGCACUGUUUCCUAGGAGAUGAUUCCUCCAGUUCUUUAAGGUAGUAAUGAAUGACAACAAGAAGUUACUUCUCUAUGCUACACACGGUGUAGAAUCCAGAGCCUGACUGGCUGUGACGCGCCCAUGGUGACACCAAGGGGACUCUGCAUGGGCACAUCCCGGCCCUCCUCCCUGCAUGUUCUCCAAGCCAGGUCUUUGAAACCUCCAGUGAUGGGAAUGACAGAAUCUGGGAUGAUUUUCUUCUGUUUCUUAUCUAAAAAAACAACAAAAAGCUCAGCAUACACGGACUCACACAAACCUUUUGCUAGAGGCAGCUCUGUAGACUUAAGACGCUGUCAUUUUUCAGAAGAACCCAGCUUGCUUUGGAACUACAGUCAGCCCUGCAACCCACCCUCACCUUGGACCCUGCUGCUGCUGUCUGUAAAGGGUCUGGAUGAAGGAAGGGAGCCUCCAGCUUGUCGGCUGUACUUGCCCAGAAUUUAGCCUUUGCAACAUGGAGCUGCGGGGAUGGGAAAUGUUGUCCACUAGCCUUCCGUAGACAAUGCUGCGAUGAAUACACCUGUGCAUUCUUUUUUAGAACAAGUGUAAGAAUUCCUAUGUGGCUGGACGGUACUGCUGCCAUCUCGGCUCACUGCAACCUCCCUGCCUGAUUCUCCUGCCUCAGCCUGCCGAGUGCCUGCGAUUGCAGGCGCGCACCGCCACGCCUGACUGGUUUUCGUUUUUUUUUGGUGGAGACGGGGUUUCGCUGUGUUGGCCGGGCUGGUCUCCAGCUCCUAGCCGCGAGUGAUCCGCCAGCCUCGGCCUCCCGAGGUGCCGGGAUUGCAGAUGGAGUCUCGUUCACUCAGUGCUCAAUGGUGCCCAGGCUGGAGUGCAGUGGCGUGAUCUCGGCUCGCUGCAACCACCUCCCAGCCGCCUGCCUUGGCCUCCCGGAGAGCCGAGAUUGCAGCCUCUGCCCGGCCGCCACCCCGUCUGGGAAGUGAGGAGCGUCUCUGCUUGGCCACCCAUCGUCUGGGAUGUGAGGAGCCCCUCUGCCUGGCUGCCCAGUCUGGAAAGUGAGGAGCGUCUCUGCCCGGCCGCCAUCCCAUCUGGGAAGCGAGGAGCGCCUCUUCCCCGCCGCCAUCCCAUCUAGGAAGUGAGGAGCGUCUCUGCCCGGCCGCCCAUCGUCUGAGAUGUGGGGAGCACCUCUGCCCCGCCGCCCUGUCUGGGAUGUGAGGAGCGCCUCUGCUGGGCCGCAGCCCUGUCUGGGAGGUGGGGAGCGUCUCUGCCCGGCCGCUCCGUCUGAGAAGUGAGGAAACCCUCUGCCUGGCAACCGCCCCGUCUGAGAAGUGAGGAGCCCCUCCGUCCGGCAACCACCCCGUCUGGGAAGUGAGGAGCGUCUCCGCCCAGCAGCCACCCCGUCCGGGAGGGAGGUGGGGGGGGUCAGCCCCCCGCCCGGCCAGCCGCCCCGUCUGGGAGGGAGGUGGGGGGAUCAGCCCCCCGCCUGGCCAGCCGCCCCAUCCGGGAGGUGAGGGGCGCCUCUGCCUGGCUGCCCCUACUGGGAAGUGAGGAGCCCCUCUGCCCGGCCAGCCGCCCCGCCCGGGAGGGAGGUGGGGGGGACAGCCCCCCGCCCAGCCAGCCGCCCUAUCCAGGAGGUGAGGGGCGCUCUGCCCGGCCGUCCCUACUGGGAAGUGAGGAGCCCCUCUGCCUGGCCAGCCGCCCCGUCCGGGAGGGUGGUGGGGGGGUCAGCCCCCCGCCCGGCCAGCCGCCCCAUCCGGGAGGUGAGGGGCGCUUCUGCCCGGCCGCCCCUACUGGGAAGUGAGGAGCCCCUCUGCCCGGCCACGACCCCGUCUGGGAGGUGUGCCCAGCGGCUCAUUGGGGAUGGGCCAUGAUGACAAUGGCGGUUUUGUGGAAUAGAAAGGCGGGAAGGGUGGGGAAAAAAUUGAGAAAUCGGAUGGUUGCCGGGUCUGUGUGGAUAGAAGUAGACAUGGGAGACUUUUCAUUUUGUUCUGUACUAAGAAAAAUUCUUCUGCCUUGGGAUCCUGUUGAUCUGUGACCUUAUCCCCAACCCUGUGCUCUCUGAAACAUGUGCUGUGUCCACUCAGGUUUAAAUGGAUUAAGGGCGGUGCAAGAUGUGCUUUGUUAAACAGAUGCUUGAAGGCAGCAUGCUCGUUAAGAGUCAUCACCACUCCCUAAUCUUAAGUACCCAGGGACACAAACACUGCGGAAGGCCAAGGCCGCAGGGUCCUCUGCCUAGGAAAACCAGAGACCUUUGUUCACUUGUUUAUCUGCUGACCUUCCCUCCACUAUUGUCCUAUGACCCUGCCAAAUCCCCCUCUGCGAGAAACACCCAAGAAUGAUCAAUAAAAAAAAAUAAAUAAAUUAAAAAAAACAAACAAACAAACAAAAAAAGUUAUACUUUUUUUUUUCUGUUUGUCUUCAACUUUAUGGUGUCUUUCCAGAGAGAACAGUUAAAAUUUUUUUUUAAAAAUAAGCAUGUGUUAAAUCUUAUAGUUGAUUAAUUUUUUAAAUGAAGGAAAUGGUAAGAUAUUAUAAGCAGUUGAAAGGAUAAUCCAACAGACAUAUUUAUAUAUCAGAAAUAUUGAAAUGAAAGUGCAAAUGGAAAAAUAACUGGCUUCCUGCACAAUGGAAGAGGAAAAUCAAUGGAACUUUCACUGAAUAUAAUUAAUUUUCAUGUUUAUACAAGAAUUAUUUUGCAUUAAUAUCAGUUAUCUACAACUUACAGAGUUGUAAAGUAGCUCAAAGGCAAUGAUAGAGUUAGAUUUAGAUUACCUGUAAGAGUGUGCACUAAAAAUGCAUAGCUUUUUAUUAGAGACAACAAGUCCUCUUUUCUGCCUAUUCCAAAGUUCCUUACAUUGUCACAUUCUGGUUGAUAGGUUACCUCCAUCUCUGAUUAGUUACUGUAUAUUCGUGAAUCUUUUCCUCAUGAGCUACAGAUUGAGCAUCUCUAUCUUGUACUAUUUUUGCCUCCCCAUUUUUCCAAAUAUAGUAUUAGAAGAAAAACUGGUGCUUCUUAACUAUAAUACUUAGUGUAAUUAACUUACCGAACCUGCAAGUUAUUGGUCAACCACAAUGACUGUUUGAUUUUCAUGACAUGUUCCAACAACAUGAAUGUAUGUUUUACUAUGCAUUUUUUACUAUGCAUUCAUAGUUUAAAAAUGCCCUUGGAGGUCUGUGGAAAGUGAAAUUUUAAAUUUUAAUGAAGCCAACUCUCUAAAUCUUAUGACAUCUACAUUUUAUAUGUUCUUAGAAAAAACUAUUCUACUCUAGAAUUAUAAUCUUUUUCUUUCCCCUAGUAGAUUUUUUUUUCAAAAAAUUGUCUUAAUCCCUUUGGAGUUCAUUUUGGAAAAGAUGAAAUAAGGGCUAAUUUUAUUUUACUUUUACAAAUGGAUAUUUAGUGUAGCACUAGAUACUGAAUAGUUCAUCCUUCACUGAUUCGAAAUGCCAACAUUUUGUAUAGUAAGCACUCACAUUUACACAUGGAUCUGUUUCUGGAUAUCUCUUCUAGUCCAUUACUUAUUUAUCUUAGGUUGAGCCAUCAAUAGUCUGUUACUUAGAUAUUGUUACUUAUGAAAAAUUUCAAGCAUACAUAAAAUAGAGAAAAUAGUAUCAUAAAUACAACAUAUCACUAUCGCAGUUUCAGCAAUUAUCAAUAUUUCCUUACAAAUGCUUACUCUAUCCCUUUUCUCUCUCUCUAGUUGCUGCACUGUUUUAAAGCACAUCUCAGACAUCAUACCAUUUGACCCCUGAAUACUUCCAUAUACAGCUCUGAAAUAAAAAAUUACGGCAUUUUCCUAUAUAACUGUAAUACCAUUAUCACCUCUGAAAAAUUAAGAGCAACUCCUUAAUGUUAUUGAAGUUCCUACCUACGUUCAGUUUUCUCUGGUAUAACACACUAUUUUAAAUAUCUCUGUAUCAACAUAUGAUGCUUUUAUACCUUGCAGGGCAAGUCUCCCUUGCAUUAUUCUUUUAAAAACAUUUCAUUGCUCUUCUCACAUAUUAUUUUCUGUGCCAGAAAAUUAUUUCCAAUCACUCUGUCAAAUUUCAUAACAAGUUCUGUAGAAAUUUUGCUUUGAAUUACAUUUAAUUUAUAACUUAAUUUGUGGGAGCUUUACAGUAUUGACAGCUUUACAGUAUUGAUUCAAUUCAUUCAGAAAUGUAAUGUCUCUCUAUUUAUUUAAGUCUUCUUUCAUGGCUUCAGUAAGGAGUUAGAGUUCUUUUUCAUAGGCAGGUUACAUUUACUUCUGUUUGCCUCCUCUGUGUUCUUCCAUUUCUCUUGCUUUCUUUUGGAUUGUAUUAAAACUGUUUGGACUUCUAUUUUAAUUUAUCUAUUAACUUUCUAGCUAUUCCUCUUUAUAUUACUUUUUAUAUUACUCUUUGUGUUACUUUUUAAAUAGUUCCUCUAGGGCUUACAACAUAUUUCUUCAAAUCUUCACAGUUGGAGUAUUGUUCUACUACAACUAAUGGAAGUUAGUAUUGUACUACUUUAUGUGAACCCUAAAAUCUUGCAACUGUAUAGAUCCAAUCAUGCCUUCUCAUCCAUUAUGCUAUGUAGUUGUCAUAUGUGUUGCCUUUACAUAUGUUAUGGAUCACAUGUCAUGAUUUUUAAAACCAUUUUUUGUAGUUGAAAAAAAAGAGAAAAAUAUUAUGUUAUAUUUACCUAGAUAUUUGCCAUUUCCAAUGCUUGUCACAAUUCCUGAAAAUCUAAAUUUCCAUUUCAUCUGGAAUCAUUUUUUUCCUUUAGCAUUUCUUAUAAUGUGAUUCUGUUGGUUCUUAGUUUCUUUCUUUCUUUUGUUCUUUUUCUUUUAUUUUCUUUUUUUUUUGAGAAAGGGUUUUGCUCUGUUGGCCAGGCUGGAGUGCAGUGAUGCAAUCAUGGCUCACUGGAGGCUUGAACUUCUGGGCUCAGGCAAUCCUCCCACCUCAGCCUGCUGAGUAGCUGGGGCCACAGGUGUGUGCCACCAUGCCCACCUUUUUUUUAAAAAUUUUUUUGCAGAGACAGGGUCUCCCUGUGUUGCCUAGGUUGGUCUUGAACUUCUGGGCUCAAGCCACCCUUUUGCCUGGGCAUCCCAAAGUGCUGGGAUUACAGGUGUGAGCUACCGUGUCCGACUCUUAUCUGAAAAUAUCUGUUUUUCGCUUUCAUUCUUGACAUGAUGAAUAUUAUAGAAUUCUUUGUUGAUAGGUUUUUCUGAAACAUUUUAAAGAUAUUGUUGCAUUGUCUUUUGGCCUUCAUGAUUUAUGAUGUCAGCAGUCAUUCAAAUAAUUGUUCAAUGUUUAUAUGUGUCACUUGUAUCUGGUCACUUUAAAAAUUUUAUCUUUUUUUUGUUUGCAGAAGGUUGAUUAUGAUCUUCCUAGGUGUGGAUUUUUUAUUCUUUUGGGGAUGCAUUGAGCUUCUCGAAUAUAUAAAUUUACUUCUUUUAUCAUAUUAAGAAAAUUUUGGUCAUAAUUUCUUAAAAUAUUUUUUCUGCUCCAUUCUCUCUCCUUCUUUUGUGCAACUCCAAUUACAUGGAUGUUAAACCUUUUGAUAUAGUCCCACAUAUCACUAAGUCUCUGUUCAUUAAAAAAUGUUUUUCUCUGUGCUCUUCAGAUUGUAUAAUUCUAUUGAUCUAUUUUUACGCUCAUUGCUGCUUUUGUCCAUCUUCCUCAAUUUGCUGUAAUUGUUUUCCAGAUAUUGUAUUGUUCAGUUUUAGUAUUUCCAUUUGGGUUUUUUUUUCUGUAGUUUUUAUUUAUCUGCUGAGAUUUUCUAUUUAUCAUUUAUUGUGAGCACAUUUUCCUUUAUACCCUUAAGCAUAGUUAUACUAGCUGUUUUAAAAUCCUUCUUGCUAAUUUAAACAUCUGGGUCAUCUUGGGGUUGUUUUGUAUUUAUCAACAUUUUUCAUGAGAGUGAGCCACAUUUUCUGUUUAUUUGGGUAUCAAGUAAUUUUUUAUUGUCUAUUGGGCAUUAUAAAUGCUAUGCUAUGGAGAUCUAGAUUUUGUUACAGUCCUAUGAAGAACCUUGAUGUUGUUGUUUUAGCAUGCAAUGUAUUUGGUUUGACUCAAAUUAUAAACAUCGUGUCCUUGUGUCUUUGGUGACAGAUUAAAUUUCAGUUUAGUUCUUUUAGCCUUAGCUGGCUGCUGAAGUCUGUCCACAUAUGUGUGGUCCAGGGGUCAGGCAGGGAUUUAAGUAGAGUUUAUAUACGAAAGUUAGUCACUACCUCUGUGACUCUCUCUUUUCUGGUAUUACUGCCUCAUUGUAUAGUGGCUAUAUUUGUCCUGAACUCUGUCUUCUAGGUUUUCAAGUCAGAAAGACUGCAAUUUUGAUGUUUUAGUCACCCUAUAUGGCAUAGACUGAAGCCUGCUGUCAGGCUUGAAGCCAUGAAAAUGUGAAACUCACCCAGUGUCAUUCCUAUAUUUUAACUGUCAACUCCGCUCCAAAAUCUACCUGCUUUUGGUCUUUUCCCAGUGCCCUCAAGUAUUUGUUUUUUUUUCAUAUUUUUUCCAAAGGUUAUUGUUUUACCUGUGGAAGGGUUGGUUCAUUUAGAGCUUCCUUGGUCAUUAUCAGAAGCUGGAAUUCCAUAUUUCUUGUUUGGUUAAUUGCUAGGCUGCCCUUCCUUCCCUUCCUUCCCUUCCUUCCCUUCCUUUCCUUCCCUUCCUUCCCUUCCUUCACUUCCUUCCCUUCCUUCCAUUUCCUUCCUUCCCUUCCUUCCUUUCUUUUAGGUUUGAUAACCUUCUGAAGGGAAUUUCCCCCCAUACAAUAUUUUCCCACUGGUUUUUACUGAUAUAGAAAAAAUAUUAAAUUUUGUUCAUAAUAUUGUAUCUGGCUACUGUGCUAAACCCUUUUAUUAAUUUUAAUGAUUCAUUAAUCUGUGCUCUUGGGAUUUUUCUAGAAAAGUGUCAUAAUAUUUACAACUGAAGAUGUUUGUCUUGUUCUUUCCACUAUUUAUACUUUUAAUUUUUUAAUUUGUUAUUCCAUUGACUAGGACUUCUAAUACAAUGUUACCUCUAAUACUUCACCAUUAAGAAGGAUGUUUGUGUAAAAUUCUUGUAGAUAUUCAUUCUUGAAUGAAGCUUUCAUUUUUAAAUUCAUAAUUAGUUAAGAUUAUAUUAGUUUUGAUUUAUGGGUAUUGAAAAGUAUCAAAUACUUUUCCUUCAUCUAUUACAAUUUUCAUUUUUUCCUCAUUAAUCUAUUAAUAUAGUCCUUGCAUUCCUGGCAUAAACCUCACUUGAUUCUCAUGGAUUAAUCAUGAAAUGCAUUGUUGAAUUUCAUUUCACAACAUAUUAUUAGGGAUUUUUGUUUCUAUAUUCCUGAACAGAGUGGACCUACAGCCUAAUUUGGGGGCUGUUCUUGUCUAGUCAAGUACAGGGUUAUGUUAACUUCAUAGUUUAAGUUCAAAAAAUUUUCAUCUAUUUUUAUAUACUUUUAUAGUUGAUGUACCAUGGCAAUUAUCUGUUUCUUAAAAAUUUGGUAGAACUUGCCUGUAAAACCAUUUGAGCCUGGAGUUAUUUCUAUUAAUAAAUCUCUGAUGCUUCUUACAGUUGUUUAUUCAGGUUAUCUACCCCUUAAUUGUGCUAAUUCUAGUAUACUUUAUUUUCCUUGAAAAUCGUCAAUUUCACCAUCAUCAAAUUUAUUGGUAUAAAAUUAUAUAUAAUAAUAUCUCGGCCAGGUGCAAUGGCUCAUGCCUGUAAUCCUAGCACUUUGGGAGGCUGAGGCGGGUGGAUCACCUGAGGGUCAGGAGUUCCAGACCAGCCUGGCCAACAUGGCAAAACCCCGUCUCUACUAUACAAAAAUUAGCCGGGCGUAGUGGUGGGUGCCUGUAAUCCCAGCUACUUGGAAGGCUGAGGCAAGAGAAUUGCUUGAACCCGGCGGGGUGGAGGUUGCAGUGAGCCGAGAUUGUGCUACUUCACUCUAGCCUGGGCAAAAGAGUGAGACUCCAUCUAAAAAAAAAUUAUAUAUAAUAAUAUCUCAUAAAUUAAAAAUUCUCCCCCAAAUUUGUAAUAUACUUUCUCAUUUCUAAUAUUCUUUAUUUUUGUUUUGUUUUCCUUUUUUUCUAAUUAUAUAAACUUAUCAGAAUUUUGUCUAUUUUAUUAGUCAUUACAAAGAACCAGAUUUGGAUAUUACUAAAUAACUACUCUUUUUCUUUCAUUUGUUUAUUAUUAAAUUAAUUUCUGUUUUUAUCUUUAAUAAUUCUUUUCUUCUAUUUUCAUUGAAUAUUUUGGUUAUUCUUUUUUAUAGCUUUUGGGUUAUUUUUAUCCUUUUUUUAUUAAUAAAUUAAUGUUUUAAAUUUUCCUGCACUAUUUUGUUUUCAUGUAUAAAUUUUGUGUGUUCUUAGUGUCACAUAUUUUAAAGUAAUUUAUAAUUUGUUUUGAUUGCUUCUUUAUCUAGUUACUAAAAAUACUGCUUAAAAAUGUACACAUGAAUAAAAAUACAUGUAUUCUUUAAAUAUCCUUGUUAUUCAUUUCUAAAUCGAUUGCAUUUUGGACACAGGAAUGAAACCUUCAUGAUUUCUGCUUUUUAUAAUAGAUUGAAUAAGGUUUUAAAAGAAAGUAAUCUUCUGUUUUGGCAGUGUGAUGCCUAUAACUAAUCAAUAAAACUUAUUUACUAAUUAUAA
This 9934-nucleotide long non-coding RNA is filed under the name Homo sapiens (human). RNAcentral describes it as "long independently transcribed non-coding RNA 2636, transcript variant 2 (LINC02636)". The record is from RNAcentral. Lineage: Eukaryota; Metazoa; Chordata; Mammalia; Primates; Hominidae.